UACGGGGGGGGCGAGCGUUGUCCGAAGUUACUGGGCGUAAAGCGCGUGUAGGCGGAUUGUUAAGUCCGCUGUGAAAGCCCGGUGCUCAACGCCGGAGGGUCGGUGGAUACUGGCAGUCUUGAAGUGGCUAGGGGGAAAUGGAAUUACCGGUGUAGCGGUGAAAUGCGUAGAUAUCGGUAGGAACACCAGUGGCGAAGGCGGUUUCCUGGAGCCCACUUGACGCUGAGACGCGAAAGCUGGGGGAGCAAACGGG
This 253-nucleotide ribosomal RNA is filed under the name uncultured bacterium. RNAcentral describes it as "partial 16S ribosomal RNA". It matches the Rfam family "Bacterial small subunit ribosomal RNA", at positions 524 to 776 of the family's 1533-position model. The record is from RNAcentral.